This 1226-nucleotide long non-coding RNA is filed under the name Anas platyrhynchos platyrhynchos (common mallard). RNAcentral's name for it is "lncRNA (ENSAPLG00000017052.1)". The record is from RNAcentral. Lineage: Eukaryota; Metazoa; Chordata; Aves; Anseriformes; Anatidae.
GAUCACCCCCAAGCCCCCCAAAACCACCCGUAACCCCCCCCAAGGCCCACCCUUGGGACCCGGGGGGCACCCCUGGGGCCCCGGGGGGGCACCCAUGGGUGCAGCACCCACCACGCGGACGCGCUCCAGGUCGACCUCGGCGCGGCGCAGCUUCUCCCAGCAGUAGUGGCGGUUGCACUUGCGCUUGGGCACCCGGCAGAAGUCGCCCGUCAGCUCGAAGACGUCGCGCACCAGCGGGCACCCGCACACCUCGUCCGCCGGCACCUGCACCCAUGGGUGCCCCCCAACCACAUCAGGGGGGAGGCGGGUGGGGGGCGUGGGAACACGUAGGGAGCCCCCAUGGGGGUUGGGGGGUGGGCAGGGGGGGGCACAGGGUGGUUUGGGCGCCCUAUGGCACCCAGGGGUGCGCCCACAGUGGGGUUUGGGCACCCUAUAGCACCCAUGGGUGGCCCCCCAGCAUGGGUCUUGCACCCUAUAGCACCCAUAGGUGCACCCACAGCACGGUUUGGGCACCCUAUAGCACCCAUGGGUGCACCCACAGUGUGGUUUGUGCACCCUAUAGCACCCAUGGGUGCACCCCACAGCAUGUUUCUUGCACCCUAUGGCACCCAGGGGUGCACCCACACCUCUAGAUGAGCCUCACGACAUGGUUUGGGCUCCCUGUAGCACCCAUGGGUGCACCCCACAGCACAGUUUGGGCACCCCAUAGCACCCAUGGGUGCACCCACACCUCUACAUGAGCCUCACGACAUGGUUUGGGUACCAUGUAGCACCCAUGGGUGCACCCACACUGUGGUUUGGGGACCCUAUAGCACCCAUGGGUGCACCCCACAGCACAGUUUGGGCUCCCCAUAGCACCCAUGGGUGUACCCACACCUCUACGUGUGCCCUACAGGGUGCUUUGUGCACCCUAUAGCACCUAUGGGUGCACCCACAGCAGGGUUUGGGCACCCUACGGCACCCAUGGGUGCACCCACACCUCUAGGUGUGCCCUACAGGGUGGUUUGGGCACCCUAUAGCACCCAUGGGUGCACCCACAGUGUGGUUUGGGCACCCUAUAGCACCCAUGGGUGGCCCCCCAGCAUGUUUCUUACACCCUACAGCACCCAUGGGUGCACCCCCAGCCUCACCCACCCACCCCCCAGCACCCAAAGCACGAUUCCUGCACCCCCUAACCCCCCCGGGUACACCCCCAACACCCCCCAGCCACCCCCCAGCCCCCCAGG